UGCAUCAUGCGUAGCCUCCCCA
RNAcentral lists this microRNA (22 nucleotides) under Ornithorhynchus anatinus (platypus). RNAcentral's name for it is "Oan-Mir-1421-P8_3p* (star (passenger))". The record is from RNAcentral. Lineage: Eukaryota; Metazoa; Chordata; Mammalia; Monotremata; Ornithorhynchidae.